RNAcentral lists this transfer RNA (66 nucleotides) under Bos taurus (domestic cattle). It matches the Rfam family "tRNA". From Rfam's summary of the family: Transfer RNA (tRNA) molecules are approximately 80 nucleotides in length. Their secondary structure includes four short double-helical elements and three loops (D, anti-codon, and T loops). Lineage: Eukaryota; Metazoa; Chordata; Mammalia; Artiodactyla; Bovidae. The record is from Rfam by way of RNAcentral. RNAcentral also lists the same sequence under 4 other names.
GCCCAGGUGGCUUAGUGGUAAAGAAUCUGCCUGCAAUGCAGGAGACGCAGGUUCAAUCCCUGGGUU